AGCUUGAUUGAGCAUUCGGUUUGGCACCGAAGGGACGCAGGUUCGAAUCCUGUCUUCCCGA
RNAcentral lists this transfer RNA (61 nucleotides) under Spiroplasma endosymbiont of Heliconius melpomene. RNAcentral describes it as "tRNA-Pro". It matches the Rfam family "tRNA", at positions 9 to 71 of the family's 71-position model. From Rfam's summary of the family: Transfer RNA (tRNA) molecules are approximately 80 nucleotides in length. Their secondary structure includes four short double-helical elements and three loops (D, anti-codon, and T loops). The record is from RNAcentral. Lineage: Bacteria; Bacillati; Mycoplasmatota; Mollicutes; Entomoplasmatales; Spiroplasmataceae.